GGGGUCUUAGCUCAGCUGGUAGAGCGCCUCAAUGGCAUUGAGGAGGUCAGGGGUUCGAGUCCCCUAGGCUCCA
RNAcentral lists this transfer RNA (73 nucleotides) under Methylacidimicrobium sp. AP8. RNAcentral describes it as "tRNA-Ala". It matches the Rfam family "tRNA". Rfam says of the family: Transfer RNA (tRNA) molecules are approximately 80 nucleotides in length. Their secondary structure includes four short double-helical elements and three loops (D, anti-codon, and T loops). Lineage: Bacteria; Pseudomonadati; Verrucomicrobiota. The record is from RNAcentral.